GAGUUUGAUUAUGGCUCAGAUUGAACGCUGGCGGCAGGCUUAACACAUGCAAGUCGAACGAUGAUUACUAGCUUGCUAGUAUGAUUAGUGGCGAACGGGUGAGUAAUGCUUAGGAAUCUGCCUAUUAGUGGGGGACAACAUUCCGAAAGGAAUGCUAAUACCGCAUACGUCCUACGGGAGAAAGCAGGGGAUCUUUUGACCUUGCGCUAAUAGAUGAGCCUAAGUCGGAUUAGCUAGUUGGUGGGGUAAAGGCCUACCAAGGCGACGACCUGUAGCUGGUCUGAGAGGAUGAUCAGCCACACUGGGACUGAGACACGGCCCAGACUCCUACGGGAGGCAGCAGUGGGGAAUAUUGGACAAUGGGCGAAAGCCUGAUCCAGCCAUGCCGCGUGUGUGAAGAAGGCCUUUUGGUUGUAAAGCACUUUAAGUGGGGAGGAAAAGCUAAUAAUUAAUACCUAUUAGCCCUGACGU
This 471-nucleotide ribosomal RNA is filed under the name Moraxella sp. canine oral taxon 017. RNAcentral describes it as "bacterial SSU rRNA". It matches the Rfam family "Bacterial small subunit ribosomal RNA", at positions 9 to 475 of the family's 1533-position model. Lineage: Bacteria; Pseudomonadati; Pseudomonadota; Gammaproteobacteria; Moraxellales; Moraxellaceae. The record is from RNAcentral.